UUGGAGGGCAAGUCUGGUGCCAGCAGCCGCGGUAAUUCCAGCUCCAAUAGCGUAUAUUAAAGUUGUUGCAGUUAAAAAGCUCGUAGUUGAAUUUCGGGAUUAGUACGUUGGUCGUGCCUUAGGUACGUACUGGUGUUACUGGUUUCUACCUUCUGACGAACCAUCAUGUCAUUAAUUUGGUGUGGUGGGGAAUCAGGACUGUUACUUUGAAAAAAUUAGAGUGUUUAAAGCAGGCUCGCGCUUGAAUACAUUAGCAUGGAAUAAUGAAACAGGACGUUGAUCCUAUUUUGUUGGUUUCUAGGAUUGACGUAAUGAUUAAUAGGGAUAGUUGGGGGCAUUAGUAUUCAAUUGUCAGAGGUGAAAUUCUUGGAUUUAUUGAAGACUAACUACUGCGAAAGCAUUUGCCAAGGAUGUUUUCAUUAAUCAAGAACGAAAGUUAGGGGAUCGAAGACGAUCAGAUACCGUCGUAGUCUUAACCAUAAACUAUGCCGACUAGGGAUCGGAUGAUGUUAUUUUUAAUGACUCAUUCGGCGCCUUACGGGAAAC
This 546-nucleotide ribosomal RNA is filed under the name uncultured Glomus. RNAcentral describes it as "SSU rRNA". It matches the Rfam family "Eukaryotic small subunit ribosomal RNA", at positions 548 to 1098 of the family's 1831-position model. Lineage: Eukaryota; Fungi; Glomeromycota; Glomeromycetes; Glomerales; Glomeraceae. The record is from RNAcentral.